GGUGAAAAGCACCCCGGAAGGGGAGUGAAAUAGAACCUGAAACCGUGUGCUUACAAGUAGUCAGAGCCCGUUAAUGGGUGAUGGCGUGCCUUUUGUAGAAUGAACCGGCGAGUUACGAUUUGAUGCAAGGUUAAGCAGUAAAUGUGGAGCCGUAGCGAAAGCGAGUCUGAAUAGGGCGUUUAGUAUUUGGUCGUAGACCCGAAACCAGGUGAUCUACCCUUGGUCAGGUUGAAGUUCAGGUAACACUGAAUGGAGGACCGAACCGACUUACGUUGAAAAGUGAGCGGAUGAACUGAGGGUAGCGGAGAAAUUCCAAUCGAACCUGGAGAUAGCUGGUUCUCUCCGAAAUAGCUUUAGGGCUAGCCUCAAGUGAUGAUUAUUGGAGGUAGAGCACUGUUUGGACGAGGGGCCCCUCUCGGGUUACCGAAUUCAGACAAACUCCGAAUGCCAAUUAAUUUAACUUGGGAGUCAGAACAUGGGUGAUAAGGUCCGUGUUCGAAAGGGAAACAGCCCAGACCACCAGCUAAGGUCCCAAAAUAUAUGUUAAGUGGAAAAGGAUGUGGCGUUGCCCAGACAACUAGGAUGUUGGCUUAGAAGCAGCCAUCAUUUAAAGAGUGCGUAAUAGCUCACUAGUCGAGUGACACUGCGCCGAAAAUGUACCGGGGCUAAACAUAUUACCGAAGCUGUGGAUUGUCCUUUGGACAAUGGUAGGAGAGCGUUCUAAGGGCGUUGAAGCAUGAUCGUAAGGACAUGUGGAGCGCUUAGAAGUGAGAAUGCCGGUGUGAGUAGCGAAAGACGGGUGAGAAUCCCGUCCACCGAUUGACUAAGGUUUCCAGAGGAAGGCUCGUCCGCUCUGGGUUAGUCGGGUCCUAAGCUGAGGCCGACAGGCGUAGGCGAUGGAUAACAGGUUGAUAUUCCUGUACCACCUAUAAUCGUUUUAAUCGAUGGGGGGACGCAGUAGGAUAGGCGAAGCGUGCGAUUGGAUUGCACGUCUAAGCAGUAAGGCUGAGUAUUAGGCAAAUCCGGUACUCAUUAAGGCUGAGCUGUGAUGGGGAGAAGACAUUGUGUCUUCGAGUCGUUGAUUUCACACUGCCGAGAAAAGCCUCUAGAUAGAAAAUAGGUGCCCGUACCGCAAACCGACACAGGUAGUCAAGAUGAGAAUUCUAAGGUGAGCGAGCGAACUCUCGUUAAGGAACUCGGCAAAAUGACCCCGUAACUUCGGGAGAAGGGGUGCUCUUUAGGGUUAACGCCCAGAAGAGCCGCAGUGAAUAGGCCCAAGCGACUGUUUAUCAAAAACACAGGUCUCUGCUAAACCGUAAGGUGAUGUAUAGGGGCUGACGCCUGCCCGGUGCUGGAAGGUUAAGAGGAGUGGUUAGCUUCUGCGAAGCUACGAAUCGAAGCCCCAGUAAACGGCGGCCGUAACUAUAACGGUCCUAAGGUAGCGAAAUUCCUUGUCGGGUAAGUUCCGACCCGCACGAAAGGCGUAACGAUUUGGGCACUGUCUCAACGAGAGACUCGGUGAAAUCAUAGUACCUGUGAAGAUGCAGGUUACCCGCGACAGGACGGAAAGAC
This 1572-nucleotide ribosomal RNA is filed under the name Staphylococcus aureus. RNAcentral describes it as "partial 23S ribosomal RNA". It matches the Rfam family "Bacterial large subunit ribosomal RNA", at positions 513 to 2089 of the family's 2925-position model. The record is from RNAcentral. Lineage: Bacteria; Bacillati; Bacillota; Bacilli; Caryophanales; Staphylococcaceae.